RNAcentral lists this ribosomal RNA (378 nucleotides) under uncultured bacterium. RNAcentral's name for it is "bacterial SSU rRNA". It matches the Rfam family "Bacterial small subunit ribosomal RNA", at positions 521 to 896 of the family's 1533-position model. The record is from RNAcentral.
UAAGACGUAGGGGGCGAGCGUUGUCCGGAUUCAUUGGGCGUAAAGAGCGCGUAGGCGGCUUGGUAAGUCGGGUGUGAAAUCCCGGGGCUCAACCCCGUGACUGCACCCGAUACUGCCCGGCUAGAGGUAGGUAGGGGAGAUCGGAAUUCCUGGUGUAGCGGUGAAAUGCGCAGAUAUCAGGAGGAACACCGGUGGCGAAGGCGGAUCUCUGGGCCUUACCUGACGCUGAGGCGCGAAAGCUAGGGGAGCGAACAGGAUUAGAUACCCUGGUAGUCCUAGCCGUAAACGUUGGGUGCUAGGUGUGGGUGGACAUCGACCCCAUCCGUGCCGAAGCUAACGCAUUAAGCACCCCGCCUGGGGAGUACGGCCGCAAGGCUA